CCUACGGGUGGCAGCAGUGAGGAAUAUUGGUCAAUGGACGAGAGUCUGAACCAGCCAAGUAGCGUGAAGGAUGACUGCCCUAUGGGUUGUAAACUUCUUUUAUAUGGGAAUAAAACGUUCCACGUGUGGGAUUUUGUAUGUACCAUAUGAAUAAGGAUCGGCUAACUCCGUGCCAGCAGCCGCGGUAAUACGGAGGAUCCGAGCGUUAUCCGGAUUUAUUGGGUUUAAAGGGAGCGUAGGUGGAUUGUUAAGUCAGUUGUGAAAGUUUGCGGCUCAACCGUAAAAUUGCAGUUGAAACUGGCAGUCUUGAGUACAGUAGAGGUAGGCGGAAUUCGUGGUGUAGCGGUGAAAUGCUUAGAUAUCACGAAGAACUCCGAUUGCGAAGGCAGUUCACUGAACUGCAACUGACACUGAGGCUCGAAAGUGUGGGUAUCAAACAGGAUUAGAUACCCGUGUAGUC
Molecule: ribosomal RNA, 460 nt
Filed under: uncultured bacterium
Lineage: Bacteria
Description: partial 16S ribosomal RNA
Rfam family: Bacterial small subunit ribosomal RNA
Source: RNAcentral